This 1723-nucleotide ribosomal RNA is filed under the name human oral metagenome. Its description in RNAcentral is "bacterial LSU rRNA". It matches the Rfam family "Bacterial large subunit ribosomal RNA", at positions 1106 to 2554 of the family's 2925-position model. The record is from RNAcentral.
UUAGAAGCAGCCAUCCUUUAAAGAAAGCGUAAUAGCUCACUGGUCUAGUGAUUUUGCGCGGAAAAUAUAACGGGGCUAAAAUGAGUACCGAAGCUUUAGAUAGUGUCUAUGAUUAUUUAUACUAGCUUGUCUCUUUGGCAUCUUUAAAUGAGCUUCAUUUUUUCUCCUGCGGCAACCUACACCGGUUAGCCUUAGUCGAAAAAAUAUCAGCAACAUUUAAAUCUGCGCAAAGAUACUUCGCUUUCUGCAUUCAAAUUUGAAUGCAACGUCUUAAUCUAAAAUUCUAUAAAUUUCAAAUUUCUUAGAAUUUUAAAAUUUAGCAACAAAAAGCAAAAAGACAAGCCUAAGUAAAGUAUAAAUACUCAUAGACACUGUGGUAGGAGAGCGUUCCAAUCAGCGUCGAAGCCGUACCGGUAAGGAGCGGUGGAGCGGUUGGAAGUGAGCAUGCAGGCAUGAGUAGCGAUAAAAUACGUGAGAAUCGUAUUCGCCGUAAACCCAAGGUUUCCUACGCGAUGCUCGUCAUCGUAGGGUUAGUCGGGUCCUAAGCAAAGUCCGAAAGGGGUAUGCGAUGGAAAAUCGGUUAAUAUUCCGAUACCGAUAUCAGUGUGCGACGGAAGGACGCUUAAAGUUAGUGGAGCUAGCGGAUGGAAGUGCUAGUCUAAGGAAGUAGGUUGAGUUAUAGGCAAAUCCGUAACUCUUUAUCCGAGAUCUGAAAGGCUUCUGACGCUCUUCGGAGUAGAUGAAGAAUCCAUGAUACUAUCGAGCCGAGAAAAGUUUCUAAGUUUAGCUGAUAUCGCCCGUACCGUAAACCGACACAGGUGGGUGGGAUGAGUAUUCUAAGGCGCGUGGAAGAACUCUCUUUAAGGAACUCUGCAAAAUAGCACCGUAUCUUCGGUAUAAGGUGUGCCUAGCUUCGUUAAGAAUUUACUUCGUAAGCGAAGAAGGUUACAACAAAGAGUCCCUCCCGACUGUUUACCAUAAACACAGCACUCUGCUAACUCGUAAGAGGAUGUAUAGGGUGUGACGCCUGCCCGGUGCUCGAAGGUUAAUUGAUGAUGUUAGCUUAUGCAAAGCAUCUGAUCGAAGCCCGAGUAAACGGCGGCCGUAACUAUAACGGUCCUAAGGUAGCGAAAUUCCUUGUCGAUUAAAUAUCGACCUGCAUGAAUGGCGUAACGAGAUGGGAGCUGUCUCGAAGAGGGAUCCAGUGAAAUUGUAGUGGAGGUGAAAAUUCCUCCUACCCGCGGCAAGACGGAAAGACCCCGUGGACCUUUACUAUAGCUUGACACUGCUACUUGGAUAAAGAUGCGCAGGAUAGGUGGGAGGCUUCGAUUCGUAGAUCUCGGUUUACGAUGAGCCAUUGUUGAGAUACCACUCUUCUUUAUUCGGGUAGCUAACUAGCCUAAGUUAUCCUUAGGUAGGACAAUGUCUGGUGGGUAGUUUGACUGGGGCGGUCGCCUCCCAAAAUGUAACGGAGGCUUACAAAGGUUGGCUCAGAACGGUUGGAAAUCGUUCGCAGAGUAUAAAGGCAAAAGCCAGCUUAACUGCGAGACAUACACGUCGAGCAGGGACGAAAGUCGGUCUUAGUGAUCCGGUGGUUCUGUGUGGAAGGGCCAUCGCUCAAAGGAUAAAAGGUACCCCGGGGAUAACAGGCUGAUCUCCCCCAAGAGCUCACAUCGACGGGGAGGUUUGGCACCUCGAUGUCGGCUCAUCGCAUCCUGGGGCU